CGCUAGCGGGAGGCUUAACACAUGCAAGUCGAGGGGUAACAUGGUUUUCGGACUGAUGACGACCGGCGCACGGGUGCGUAACGCGUAUGCAACCUUCCUUAUGCAGGAGGAUAGCCCAUGGAAACGUGGAUUAAUACUCCAUACUAUUAGUAUUAUGCAUGUAAUAUUAAUAAAAACUACGGUGGCAUAAGAUGGGCAUGCGUCUGAUUAGUUAGUUGGUGAGGUAACGGCUCACCAAGGCGACGAUCAGUAGGGGUUCUGAGAGGAUUAUCCCCCACACUGGUACUGAGACACGGACCAGACUCCUACGGGAGGCAGCAGUGAGGAAUAUUGGUCAAUGGGUGAGAGCCUGAACCAGCCAUCCCGCGUGCAGGAUGACGGCCCUAUGGGUUGUAAACUGCUUUUCUACGCCAAGAAAGGUCCCUACGUGUAGGGAAUUGACGGUAGCGUAGGAAUAAGCAUCGGCUAACUCCGUGCCAGCAGCCGCGGUAAUACGGAGGAUGCAAGCGUUAUCCGGAUUUAUUGGGUUUAAAGGGUGCGCAGGCGGGUUUUUAAGUCAGUGGUGAAAUACUGCCGCUUAACGGUAGAAUUGCCAUUGAAACUAGGAAUCUUGAGUGUGGUUGAGGUAGGCGGAAUGUGUAGUGUAGCGGUGAAAUGCAUAGAUAUUACACAGAACACCGAUUGCGGAGGCAGCUUACUAAGCCAUAACUGACGCUGAGGCACGAAAGCGUGGGGAGCGAACAGGAUUAGAUACCCUGGUAGUCCACGCUGUAAACGAUGUUCACUCGCUGUUUGCGAUACACAGUAAGCGGCUGAGCGAAAGCAUUACGUGAACCACCUGGGGAGUACGAUCGCAAGGUUGAAACUCAAAGGAAUUGGCGGGGGCCCGCACAAGCGGAGGAACAUGUGGUUUAAUUCGAUGAUACGCGAGGAACCUUACCUGGGCUUAAUGUAGACUGCCUAGGAUGGAAACCUUCUUUCCCUUCGGGGCU
This 992-nucleotide ribosomal RNA is filed under the name uncultured organism. RNAcentral describes it as "bacterial SSU rRNA". It matches the Rfam family "Bacterial small subunit ribosomal RNA", at positions 34 to 1028 of the family's 1533-position model. The record is from RNAcentral.